GAUGAACGCUGGCGGCGUGCUUAACACAUGCAAGUCGAACGAUGAAGCCCAGCUUGCUGGGUGGAUUAGUGGCGAACGGGUGAGUAACACGUGAGUAACCUGCCCUUAACUCUGGGAUAAGCCUGGGAAACUGGGUCUAAUACCGGAUAGGAGCGUCCACCGCAUGGUGGGUGUUGGAAAGAUUUAUCGGUUUUGGAUGGACUCGCGGCCUAUCAGCUUGUUGGUGAGGUAAUGGCUCACCAAGGCGACGACGGGUAGCCGGCCUGAGAGGGUGACCGGCCACACUGGGACUGAGACACGGACCAGACUCCUACGGGAGGCAGCAGUGGGGAGUAUUGCACAGUGGGCGCAAGCCUGAUGCAGCGACGCCGCGUGAGGGAUGACGGCCUUCGGGUUGUAAACCUCUUUCAGUAGGGAAGAAGCGAAAGUGACGGUACCUGCAGAAGAAGCACCGGCUAACUACGUG
RNAcentral lists this ribosomal RNA (466 nucleotides) under uncultured bacterium. RNAcentral's name for it is "partial 16S ribosomal RNA". It matches the Rfam family "Bacterial small subunit ribosomal RNA", at positions 28 to 507 of the family's 1533-position model. The record is from RNAcentral.